CGAAUGCUGACAUAAGUAACGAUAAAGCGGGUGAAAAGCCCGCUCGCCGGAAGACCAAGGGUUCCUGUCCAACGUUAAUCGGGGCAGGGUGAGUCGACCCCUAAGGCGAGGCCGAAAGGCGUAGUCGAUGGGAAACAGGUUAAUAUUCCUGUACUUGGUGUUACUGCGAAGGGGGGACGGAGAAGGCUAUGUUGGCCGGGCGACGGUUGUCCCGGUUUAAGCGUGUAGGCUGGUUUUCCAGGCAAAUCCGGAAAAUCAAGGCUGAGGCGUGAUGACGAGGCACUACGGUGCUGAAGCAACAAAUGCCCUGCUUCCAGGAAAAGCCUCUAAGCAUCAGGUAACAUCAAAUCGUACCCCAAACCGACACAGGUGGUCAGGUAGAGAAUACCAAGGCGCUUGAGAGAACUCGGGUGAAGGAACUAGGCAAAAUGGUGCCGUAACUUCGGGAGAAGGCACGCUGAUAUGUAGGUGAAGUCCCUCGCGGAUGGAGCUGAAAUCAGUCGAAGAUACCAGCUGGCUGCAACUGUUUAUUAAAAACACAGCACUGUGCAAACACGAAAGUGGACGUAUACGGUGUGACGCCUGCCCGGUGCCGGAAGGUUAAUUGAUGGGGUCAGCGCAAGCGAAGCUCUUGAUCGAAGCCCCGGUAAACGGCGGCCGUAACUAUAACGGUCCUAAGGUAGCGAAAUUCCUUGUCGGGUAAGUUCCGACCUGCACGAAUGGCGUAAUGAUGGCCAGGCUGUCUCCACCCGAGACUCAGUGAAAUUGAACUCGCUGUGAAGAUGCAGUGUACCCGCGGCAAGACGGAAAGACCCCGUGAACCUUUACUAUAGCUUGACACUGAACAUUGAGCCUUGAUGUGUAGGAUAGGUGGGAGGCUUUGAAGUGUGGACGCCAGUCUGCAUGGAGCCGACCUUGAAAUACCACCCUUUAAUGUUUGAUGUUCUAACGUGGACCCGUGAUCCGGGUUGCGGACAGUGUCUGGUGGGUAGUUUGACUGGGGCGGUCUCCUCCUAAAGAGUAACGGAGGAGCACGAAGGUUGGCUAAUCCUGGUCGGACAUCAGGAGGUUAGUGCAAUGGCAUAAGCCAGCUUGACUGCGAGCGUGACGGCGCGAGCAGGUGCGAAAGCAGGUCAUAGUGAUCCGGUGGUUCUGAAUGGAAGGGCCAUCGCUCAACGGAUAAAAGGUACUCCGGGGAUAACAGGCUGAUACCGCCCAAGAGUUCAUAUCGACGGCGGUGUUUGGCACCUCGAUGUCGGCUCAUCACAUCCUGGGGCUGAAGUAGGUCCCAAGGGUAUGGCUGUUCGCCAUUUAAAGUGGUACGCGAGCUGGGUUUAGAACGUCGUGAGACAGUUCGGUCCCUAUCUGCCGUGGGCGCUGGAGAACUGAGGGGGGCUGCUCCUAGUACGAGAGGACCGGAGUGGACGCAUCACUGGUGUUCGGGUUGUCAUGCCAAUGGCACUGCCCGGUAGCUAAAUGCGGAAGAGAUAAGUGCUGAAAGCAUCUAAGCACGAAACUUGCCCCGAGAUGAGUUCUCCCUGACCCUUUAAGGGUCCUGAAGGAACGUUGAAGACGACGACGUUGAUAGGCCGGGUGUGUAAG
This 1602-nucleotide ribosomal RNA is filed under the name Escherichia coli. Its description in RNAcentral is "partial 23S ribosomal RNA". It matches the Rfam family "Bacterial large subunit ribosomal RNA", at positions 1291 to 2873 of the family's 2925-position model. The record is from RNAcentral. Lineage: Bacteria; Pseudomonadati; Pseudomonadota; Gammaproteobacteria; Enterobacterales; Enterobacteriaceae.